GACGAACCGUACGAACGUUAUUCGGAAUUACUGGGCUUAAAGGGUGCGUAGGCUGCGCGGAAAGUUGGGUGUGAAAUCCCUCGGCUCAACCGAGGAACUGCGCCCAAAAACUACCGUGCUCGAGGGAGACAGAGGUGAGCGGAACUUAGGGUGGAGCGGUGAAAUGCGUUGAUAUCCUAAGGAACACCCGUGGCGAAAGCGGCUCACUGGGUCUCUUCUGACGCUGAGGCACGAAAGCUAGGGUAGCGAACGGG
Molecule: ribosomal RNA, 254 nt
Filed under: uncultured bacterium
Lineage: Bacteria
Description: partial 16S ribosomal RNA
Rfam family: Bacterial small subunit ribosomal RNA
Source: RNAcentral